RNA transcript from Schistocerca cancellata (South American locust), 705 nucleotides. RefSeq lists it as uncharacterized. NCBI's taxonomy places the organism in Eukaryota, Metazoa, Arthropoda, Insecta, Orthoptera, Acrididae. The transcript has 5 exons. The record is from RefSeq and is a predicted model, not a curated record.
GGACGCAGUGCAAAGGCUCGACGUGCUCCCGCCUGGCUGUGCUUUGGCGCGGCGGCGCGUCGGUUCGACGCCCGGAUGCACCAUGCGGGGCUGCAUAUCUUCUUCUCCGGGGCUCCUUAUCGACACUGGUUGUCCCGCGGCCUGCCGGCGCCGGCCCGCCGUCUCGCCUGCUCGUCUCUCGUCUCGUCUCCUCUCGUCCGUCUCGUCUGGACGCCGUAACGAGCGUCACGACGCCUCUUCCACCGAGCCGGGGUUCGGCGACGGGAUUCGGUAGCAGAGAUGACCCGAACGUGCGAUUUGGUGAGGUGGGCGUAGCGACAAUGGAGCCCCGAGAUACAAACGAUCAGCAGGUGACGGCGGAAAUGCGGAGGGGGCGGAGAAGUUUUUCGCUGUAGCUACAGCAACUGCGUCAAAUGUUCUCUCCGGAUUGGGAUCCUAACACAUGCUUCGAAUGUGAGCACGGAGAGAAAUGAAGUUGCUUGCUACGUACGAAGAUGACAAAUUAUACUUCACGUAGAGCGGCGGCAUCCCGAUGGAACAAGAAUGAUGCGGCAAGAUAUCUGCUGGACGUGAAGAAUGAAUUACCUAUUCAGUCAUACUGUAAUUUUUUGCCGUUCAUCGUAUAUCGAACCAAAAAUACGUAACUUGAUAACUGUAAAUAGAAAUUUUCUACAAAACAGACUUGUAUUUCAUGUCACAGUAGAA